UCCCAGGAGGCUCAGAUGGCAAAGUGUCUGCCUGCAAUGCAGGAGACCCAGGUUUGAUCCCUGGGUUGGAAA
RNAcentral lists this transfer RNA (72 nucleotides) under Bos taurus (domestic cattle). It matches the Rfam family "tRNA". From Rfam's summary of the family: Transfer RNA (tRNA) molecules are approximately 80 nucleotides in length. Their secondary structure includes four short double-helical elements and three loops (D, anti-codon, and T loops). Further hydrogen bonds mediate the characteristic L-shaped molecular structure. tRNAs have two regions of fundamental functional importance: the anti-codon, which is responsible for specific mRNA codon recognition, and the 3' end, to which the tRNAs corresponding amino acid is attached (by aminoacyl-tRNA synthetases). tRNAs cope with the degeneracy of the genetic code in two manners: having more than one tRNA (with a specific anti-codon) for a particular amino acid; and 'wobble' base-pairing, i.e. permitting non-standard base-pairing at the 3rd anti-codon position. RNAcentral also lists the same sequence under 2 other names. Lineage: Eukaryota; Metazoa; Chordata; Mammalia; Artiodactyla; Bovidae. The record is from Rfam by way of RNAcentral.